GAUGAAGAACGUAGUGAAAUGCGAUAAUUAAUGUGAAUUGCAGAAUUCCGUAAAUCAUCGAGUCUUUGAACGCACAUUGCGCCUCAUGGCAUUCCGUGAGGCAUGCCCAUCUCAGCGUUAGAAAAUAUUCUCAAAUUUUAGUUUUGUGCUAAAAUUUGGAUCAUGUCAAAGAAGCUAUUACUAUUAUUGUGAUCGCUCUUUGGAAAUUGAUAGGUCUUUGAGUUGCUACUCAUAGAACGUGAUGAAUCUUUCUUCGUUCUAUUGUAAUUCACUCUGGUAGUCCUAAAACUUGUAUGCCUGUGGCAUAUCUUGUAAUUUGACCUGAGAUUGGGUAGGGAUACCCGCUGAACUUAAGCAUAUCAAUAAGCGGAGGA
RNAcentral lists this unclassified non-coding RNA (374 nucleotides) under soil metagenome. Its description in RNAcentral is "partial contains internal transcribed spacer 2 and large subunit ribosomal RNA". The stretch from base 1 to 120 matches the Rfam family "5.8S ribosomal RNA", at positions 35 to 154 of the family's 154-position model. The record is from RNAcentral.